This is a long non-coding RNA of Micropterus dolomieu (smallmouth bass), 1015 nucleotides long. RefSeq lists it as uncharacterized. The transcript has 3 exons. The record is from RefSeq and is a predicted model, not a curated record. Lineage: Eukaryota; Metazoa; Chordata; Actinopteri; Centrarchiformes; Centrarchidae.
CACACACAUAGACACACACACACACACACAUAGACACACAUAGACAGACACAUAGACACACACACAUAGACACAUACACACACAACAUACAAGCUGCGGCAGAGAGUGGGCACACAAGCACCAACUGGAGAGAGCCAUGGAAAACCCAUCCACCACCUCAACCUUCACACCCCCUUUGUGCGUUGGCAUUGAAAGUUGGCUUUGGGGUUUUGAGAUCUCCACCUCUGCAACUACCCCUUGGCUUGCCAAUACAUUGGAGGUGGCAAUGCAGUUGCAGACUCACAUCAUGAGGGGAGAAAAACACCUGUGGGAUCACAACAUCUCACUUCAAGCUCUCUCCCUGCUGUCCUCUUACGUGUCCCAAGUCUUUCAGAACGUGUUAUUUUGCUUUUUAGAAAACAAAGAAGAGGAUUCACUCAUAUCAGCAGGAAACAUUUGAUUUCUCUGUUAAAGACACAAGGGAAACUGCAAAAAUGAGUGUUCUGCUGUUUUAGAGAUCACAAGUUCUUUAUAAUUAUUUCCAAAUUUGAUGUUAGAUUUGAGGAUUUUCCAGGACAACUAGCUUCCACAGAACUGCUGCAUUUGAGGCUAGUUUAAUGGUUAUGUUUAAUUGUUAUAUAGAUUGUAUUUUAUUGAAACUAAGCGAAUAUGAAUUCUAUUCCAAUGUCAGUCCUCUUUAAGACUGGCCAAGUUGGCUCAAAGUAUCACAUUAGAAAACCUGAUAUAAAAAUUUAAAAAUGGUGCUCAGUGCUUAGUGUAACAACUGUUAGUUAUACAUUUUCAUUCUUUGACACAUACUUUCGAUGAAAAACAUUAACAUACACAUAAACUUUACAGAUUUGUAUUUUCCUUUUAUAUGAACUCAUUAGCAUGUCAGGAACAAGAAUCUCAAAGUUGACUGAUAGUAAAAAUAGUUGUACAAUUCUAUGUGAUUUGAUAUUCUUAUAUUUUACAACUAUAGUUAGGAUGCUUAAAGCUGCAUUGUGUAAACUGGCAGUGCUGUCUAGCACCUGCA